AUAUAUAUAUAUAUAUAUAUAUAUAUAUAUAUGUUUUUUCCUGGAUAACCCCUUUAAUUUUUGCUGGAGUUCUCCUUUAACAUCACGUCUACCUUUUUCCCCCUACACUGGUAGCCCAGUUGACCAAUAUCCAUGGCUAAUAUGGUGCAGUAGAAAUACUCGCAGGCCUAUAGAAAUCUAUAUCAGAAGUCAAAAUGGUGUGUGCCAAAUAAGGCCAUCCGCAUUGAUGAACAUCGAUGCCAUCCGCAUCGGCUUGAGAUUACUUAGAUCAGUGCACCCUGGUUGGGAAGCACUGACUUAAAUGAUAGCAUACUGUAUGUAUUGAUUCGGGCCACAAGAAGGCUGCAUUUAUUGUAUGUAAGGGUCAGUAUAUUUUAUUAAUACUUGAACUAGAUUUUAAACAAUUUACAAGGGUCUUUCUGAUGUACUAGUCUUGUGCCUUUCUGUGUUUGCCUUCUUACGUGUGGAACGUGUGAACUUGUUUCUUGUGCUUUUUAUGUCAUGUACACAUACAGUAUAUGCAGUGAAUAUUUCGGAUUCGGUUAUCUGUAUACUACUGAAAUUAGCUGGGGUUUUUCUAAGUCAAAACUAAAUGUUCGCCAUAUUGAAUUUAUUGUUUUUAUUUUUUUUUUGUCUUUUGUUUGGUUUUUACGUUUCUAAAUUCUCACUCACUACAAGGGACAUUGUCUAAAAUUGGAAAAUGAAUGUUAUAUUCGAUGAAGUAUUAAUAUUGUGAUUCAUGGACAUUGUGAUUUCUGUGCGUAAGGAAUAAAAGUUACCUAUGUAACGUAGGUGGUUUCUUUCCAAUCGAUUUAUAGUAGACGAUUUUCAUUUAACUUUGGGGUAAAAAUUCUAUGCAAUUUUGUGGCAUGGUGAUUCUUUCGGUUGUAACUUUGUGCUUUCGACACAGAUCCAAAGGAUAAAUAAAAAUAUUAACACAAAGUA
Hyla sarda is the source of this 945-nucleotide long non-coding RNA. RefSeq lists it as uncharacterized. NCBI's taxonomy places the organism in Eukaryota, Metazoa, Chordata, Amphibia, Anura, Hylidae. The transcript has 2 exons. The record is from RefSeq and is a predicted model, not a curated record.